UACGAACUGUGCAAACGUUAUUCGGAAUCACUGGGCUUAAAGGGUGCGUAGGCGGCUAUUUAAGUAGGGUGUGAAAUCCCCCGGCUCAACCGGGGAACUGCGCUCUAAACUGGAUGGCUUGAGUGAGAUAGGGGUGUGUGGAACUUCCGGUGGAGCGGUGAAAUGUGUUGAUAUCGGAAGGAACGCCGGUGGCGAAAGCGACACACUGGGUCUCAACUGACGCUGAGGCACGAAAGCCAGGGGAGCGAAC
This 250-nucleotide ribosomal RNA is filed under the name uncultured bacterium. RNAcentral's name for it is "partial 16S ribosomal RNA". It matches the Rfam family "Bacterial small subunit ribosomal RNA", at positions 524 to 773 of the family's 1533-position model. The record is from RNAcentral.